UUUCGCAAUGCCCGAAAGGGUGACGAAGCGACGCCGCGUGCGGGAAGAAGGCCUUCGGGUUGUAAACCGCUGUCGGGAGUUAAGAAAUGUAAGGAUGUUAAUAGCAUCUUUGCUUGACUAAGGCUCCGGAGGAAGCCACGGCUAACUCUGUGCCAGCAGCCGCGGUAAUACAGAGGCGGCAAGCGUUGUUCGAAAUUAUUGGGCGUAAAGAGCACGUAGGCGGCUAUGUAAGUCGGUUGUGAAAGCCUUCCGCUCAACGGGAGAACAGCAUCCGAUACUGCAUGGCUUGAGCGCGGGAGGGGAGAGUGGAACUUCUGGUGGAGCGGUGAAAUGCGUAGAUAUCAGAAGGAACGCCGGCGGCGAAAGCGGCUCUCUGGCCCAUAACUGACGCUGAGUGUGCGAAAGCUAGGGGAGCAAACGGGAUUAGAUACCCCGGUAGUCCUAGCCGUAAACGAUGGGCACUAAGUAGAGGGGUUUUA
RNAcentral lists this ribosomal RNA (479 nucleotides) under uncultured Planctomycetota bacterium. RNAcentral's name for it is "bacterial SSU rRNA". It matches the Rfam family "Bacterial small subunit ribosomal RNA", at positions 364 to 833 of the family's 1533-position model. The record is from RNAcentral. Lineage: Bacteria; Pseudomonadati; Planctomycetota.